CGGGCUAUAGCGCAGUUGGUAGCGCGCUUGCAUGGGGUGCAAGAGGUCGUGAGUUCAAAUCUCACUAGCCCGACCA
Molecule: transfer RNA, 76 nt
Filed under: Patescibacteria group bacterium
Lineage: Bacteria
Description: tRNA-Pro
Rfam family: tRNA
About the family: Transfer RNA (tRNA) molecules are approximately 80 nucleotides in length. Their secondary structure includes four short double-helical elements and three loops (D, anti-codon, and T loops).
Source: RNAcentral